This 118-nucleotide small nucleolar RNA is filed under the name Tuber melanosporum Mel28. Lineage: Eukaryota; Fungi; Ascomycota; Pezizomycetes; Pezizales; Tuberaceae. The record is from RNAcentral.
ACUCGGGAUGAUAACUAGACGAACUGUCUCGAACUCUCCACGACCUUUGUCCUUUAAGUUCCCGGAAAAUCAAAUACCAUGCGCAGGACUCUUACACGUUUUCUCUUCCUUUCACUCU